AAUAGAUACCCAGGUAGUCCAUGCCGUAAACGUUGGGCGCUAGAUGUGGGGACCAUUCCACGGUUUCCGUGUCGCAGCUAACGCAUUAAGCGCCCCGCCUGGGGAGUACGGCCGCAAGGCUAAAACUCAAAGGAAUUGACGGGGGCCCGCACAAGCGGCGGAGCAUGCGGAUUAAUUCGAUGCAACGCGAAGAACCUUACCAAGGCUUGACAUAUACGAGAACGCUCUAGAAAUAGAGAACUCUUUGGACACUCGUAUACAGGUGGUGCAUGGUUGUCGUCAGCUCGUGUCGUGAGAUGUUGGGUUAAGUCCCGCAACGAGCGCAACCCUCGUUCUAUGUUGCCAGCGGUUCGGCCGGGAACUCAUAGGAGACUGCCGGGGUCAACUCGGAGGAAGGUGGGGAUGACGUCAAAUCAUCAUGCCCCUUAUGUCUUGGGCUUCACGCAUGCUACAAUGGCUGGUACAAAGGGCUGCAAUACCGUAAGGUGGAGCGAAUCCCAAAAAGCCGGUCUCAGUUCGGA
This 521-nucleotide ribosomal RNA is filed under the name uncultured bacterium. RNAcentral describes it as "bacterial SSU rRNA". It matches the Rfam family "Bacterial small subunit ribosomal RNA", at positions 777 to 1297 of the family's 1533-position model. The record is from RNAcentral.